UGGAAGUGCCCACAUCCAUCCCAUAUUGGUGAAGUUCACAUCUCUCUGCUUGAUCAUUCAUUACUUCAGCAGAUAUUAACCAAAUGCUCCGUGGCCUCAACCCUGCAGUGGGUGCUGUGAACAGAGACAAGCAAAUGCACACCUUCAACAAUGCGUUAUUUAAAAACAGUGAAUGGGGCACCUGGGUGGCUAA
Molecule: long non-coding RNA, 193 nt
Organism: Lontra canadensis (Northern American river otter)
Lineage: Eukaryota; Metazoa; Chordata; Mammalia; Carnivora; Mustelidae
Exons: 3
Source: RefSeq, a predicted model, not a curated record